RNAcentral lists this ribosomal RNA (468 nucleotides) under uncultured bacterium. RNAcentral's name for it is "partial 16S ribosomal RNA". It matches the Rfam family "Bacterial small subunit ribosomal RNA", at positions 28 to 507 of the family's 1533-position model. The record is from RNAcentral.
GACGAACGCUGGCGGCGUGCUUAACACAUGCAAGUCGAACGGAAAGGCCCUGCUUUUGUGGGGUGCUCGAGUGGCGAACGGGUGAGUAACACGUGAGUAACCUGCCCUUGACAUUGGGAUAACUUCAGGAAACUGGGGCUAAUACCGGAUAGGAGCCCCUGUUGCAUGGUGGGGGUGGGAAAUUUUCGGCGGGUGGGGAUGGACUCGCGGCUGAUCAGCUUGUUGGUUGGGGAGUGGCUUACCAAGGCUUUGACGGGUAGGCGGCAGGAGAGGGUGGCCGGCCACAAUGGGCCUACGAUACGGACCAGACUGCAACGGGGGACAGCGGUGGGGAGUAUUACACAAUGGGCCGGAGCCUGAUGAAGCGGCGCCGCGUGCGGGAUGACGGCCUUCGGGUUGUGAACCGCUUUAGCCUGUGACGAAGCGUGAGUGACGGUAAUGGGUAAAGAAGCACCGGCUAACUACGUG